AUGAGAGUUUGAUCCUGGCUCAGGACGAACGCUGGCGGCGUGCCUAAUACAUGCAAGUCGAACGCUUCUUUCCUCCCGAGUGCUUGCACUCAAUUGGAAAGAGGAGUGGCGGACGGGUGAGUAACACGUGGGUAACCUACCCAUCAGAGGGGGAUAACACUUGGAAACAGGUGCUAAUACCGCAUAACAGUUUAUGCCGCAUGGCAUAAGAGUGAAAGGCGCUUUCGGGUGUCGCUGAUGGAUGGACCCGCGGUGCAUUAGCUAGUUGGUGAGGUAACGGCUCACCAAGGCCACGAUGCAUAGCCGACCUGAGAGGGUGAUCGGCCACACUGGGACUGAGACACGGCCCAGACUCCUACGGGAGGCAGCAGUAGGGAAUCUUCGGCAAUGGACGAAAGUCUGACCGAGCAACGCCGCGUGAGUGAAGAAGGUUUUCGGAUCGUAAAACUCUGUUGUUAGAGAAGAACAAGGACGUUAGUAACUGAACGUCCCCUGACGGUAUCUAACCAGAAAGCCACGGCUAACUACGUGCCAGCAGCCGCGGUAAUACGUAGGUGGCAAGCGUUGUCCGGAUUUAUUGGGCGUAAAGCGAGCGCAGGCGGUUUCUUAAGU
Molecule: ribosomal RNA, 612 nt
Filed under: Enterococcus faecalis
Lineage: Bacteria; Bacillati; Bacillota; Bacilli; Lactobacillales; Enterococcaceae
Description: bacterial SSU rRNA
Rfam family: Bacterial small subunit ribosomal RNA
Source: RNAcentral